This is a ribosomal RNA of 403 nucleotides. It matches the Rfam family "Eukaryotic small subunit ribosomal RNA", at positions 582 to 975 of the family's 1831-position model.
AUUCCAGCUCCAAUAGCGUAUAUUAAAGUUGUUGCAGUUAAAAAGCUCGUAGUUGGAUUUCUGAAUGGAAUAUUCGGUCCGCUUUUCUUGUAAAAGUGUGUACUUGUGAAUAUUGUGUUCAUUUUUUGUGAGAACCUUUUUCUGUCAUUAAGUUGAUGGAUUUAGUUACUUGCAUAGUUUACUGUGAAAAAAUUAGAGUGUUUAAAGCAGGCGUUUGUCCUUUGAAUACAUUAGCAUGGAAUAAUAAGAUAUGACUUUGGUGGUCUAUUUUGUUGGUUUGCACACCAGAGUAAUGAUUAAUAGGGACAGUUGGGGGUAUUCAUAUUUCAACGUCAGAGGUGAAAUUCUUAGAUCGUUGAAAGAUGAGCUUAGGCGAAAGCAUUUACCAUGGAUGUUUUCAUCA